Molecule: long non-coding RNA, 1159 nt
Organism: Manis pentadactyla (Chinese pangolin)
Lineage: Eukaryota; Metazoa; Chordata; Mammalia; Pholidota; Manidae
Exons: 5
Source: RefSeq, a predicted model, not a curated record
GUUACAGGUCGGACCCCUACUGGCUUCAGGUAGAACCCGGUCCGGUUUCCAAGUCGGACCUAGGCCAACCCUGGUCCCAGUCCAGAAAAAGAAAUGCUGGAAGUCUGAAAGCUCCUGACAGAAAGCUGCAGUGCGAGGAUUGGAGAGAGGCUCGGUUACCUCUGGAAGCAGCAAGAAAGCGUGAGCUCAGGAGCUCAGCAGACAAACCUGGGUUAAUUCACUGGAGGAAUAUGGGAAACACGUGGAGGAGAGCAGUCAUUUCAGCCAAGGCCACCUAGUUCAGCAAGUCCGCAGCUGGCCUGUACACUGACUGCAGACACGUGAGUGGGCCAAGACGACAUGAACCAGGCCGAGCCCAGGUCGCCAGAGCUGCCCGAUCCUUCUAGACUUGAGUCUCCUUUGUACUCCCAGUACAUACACUUCUGUAACUUUGCCACACCAUCAUAUGAGACAUACCCAGAUGUGUUCCUGUCCUGGUCCAGGAUGGAGCUGGGAUAUCCCAUUGCAGCUGUUUUGAAAUCUGCCGCCUGUGUCCAGAGAGGAGCAUGGGGAGCCAAGAGUGAGAACAUUUAAGACUUACUUUUCUGGCAACUUUCAGGGAGAAGACAUGGAAGUUGUGCAUUUGGAGCCCUCCCAGACAGACCAUGCACCCUGUGUCCCUUCUUUUCACUGGUUCUGUGUUGUAUUCUUUUGCUGUAAUAAAACUGUUAUAGUAUAGAACUUCCUGAGUUCUGUAAGUAGUGUCAGCAAAUUUUCAAACCUAAUAAUGGGAACUCCCAAAUUUGUGGCCAGUUUGUCAGAAGUGCAGGUGGUCUGGGAACCUCUGAAUGUAUGGCUGGUGUUUGAAAUGAAUGCAGUCUUGUGGAGGCCUGAGCCCUUAAUCUGUGAAGUUUCACUUUCCUCCAAGUAGUAUCAGAAUUUCAUUGUAGCCGUACUUUACAGAUGGAGAAAUGGAGGCAGACAGAGAUCAAAUAAUUUUUCCAAAGUCCCACAGCUAGUAAGUGGCAGCAUCAGGAAUUAAAUCCAGGCUCUCUACCUGCUCAUCAUCCGUAUGCUGUUUUCUCUUUUGAUUGAAGAGCUUUUUUCAGUUUUCAAUACAUGUAGGAUUAGAAUGAAUCAGUAAGAAUUUGUUACCCUGUCCACAUUUUGAUUUUGAACU